This is a long non-coding RNA of Octopus bimaculoides (California two-spot octopus), 646 nucleotides long. The record is from RefSeq and is a predicted model, not a curated record. NCBI's taxonomy places the organism in Eukaryota, Metazoa, Mollusca, Cephalopoda, Octopoda, Octopodidae.
ACGGAAUUCUGAAAUUACCAGUUAUUCAUUGGGAAACUGCCUAUAUCAAUAGCUGGCUAAACAUAUCCAUAUAUUCUGAAUAAAGGUGUUGGAUAAAUUCUUCUACUUCCAUAUUCAGACUUAUAAACCAAUAAGAUAAUGAUUGGAGAGCUAGAGAUUGAAAAUCUUUAUGGUGAUUUAGUUACCUAUAACGCAUACAAUCUACAAUCAAAGCACAUUUAUCACUUUAAAUACGCUAUUGUAGAAAUAAAUAAGAAUCAAAUUUUACCUUGGAUGCGAUGUACCACUAUCAAGAAAUUUCUCCGGAAGCCACGUAUCUCUUUUUAACGUGGAUGAAUUGAGACAUUUUCCUGCCAAAAGAGACAGAUAAUCAACAGAAAUAAUCAAAUGCCCGCAAUGAAUUUUGAACCCAUAUGUUACAGUUUAAUUUCCCAUUUUCAAAGUACCCAACCAGGCAAAAGGUCAAGAGUUUUAAGGGGAAGCGACCGUUGAUACCAUUGACGCCUAUAUUUGACUAGUAUUUUAUUCUACCCAACGUCGACGAAUGAAAGAUAAAGUUAAUCUCAGCGGGAUUUGACCUCAAAACAUAAAGAAUCAGAACAUAUACUGCAAAGAAUAUAUCACGACACUGUCAGCUCGUCGCUCU